ACAUACGACCAUAGAUGGUAGAAAACUCGGGAUCCCGUCCGCUCUCCCAUAGAUAAGCUACCAAUCGCCAGACUAGUAGUUGGGUCGGUGACGACCAGCGAAUCCCUGGUGUUGUAUGUU
Sordaria macrospora k-hell is the source of this 120-nucleotide ribosomal RNA. Lineage: Eukaryota; Fungi; Ascomycota; Sordariomycetes; Sordariales; Sordariaceae. The record is from Rfam.